AAUCUGAUGCUUCGAUGCCGCGUGAGUGAAGAAGGCCUUUGGGUUGUAAAGCUCUUUUGUAGGGGAAGAUAUGACUGUACCCUAAGAAUAAGGUCCGGCUAACUUCGUGCCAGCAGCCGCGGUAAUACGAAGGGACCUAGCGUAGUUCGGAAUUACUGGGCGUAAAGCGCGCGUAGGCCGUUGAGUUAGUUAAUUGUGAAAUCCCAAAGCUUAACUUUGGAACUGCAAUUAAAACUGCUCGACUAGAGUUUGAUAGAGGAAAGCGGAAUACAUAGUGUAGAGGUGAAAUUCGUAGAUAUUAUGUAGAACACCAGUUGCGAAGGCGGCUUUCUGGAUCAACACUGACGCUGAGGCGCGAAAGUAUGGGUAGCAAAGAGGAUUAGAUACCCUCGUAGUCCAUACCAUAAACGAUGAUUGCUAGAUGUUGGAAAUUUAUUUUCAGUAUCGCAGCUAACGCAUUAAGCAAUCCGCCUGGGGAGUACGACCGCAAGGUUAAAACUCAAAUGAAUUGACGGGGACCCGCACAAGCGGUGGAGCAUGUGGUUUAAUUCGAAGAUACGCGCAGAACCUUACCAACCCUUGACAUGUCUGUCGCGAGUUUAGGAAACUAGACUUUUCGGGUCGGCCGGACAGAACACAGGUGCUGCAUGGCUGUCGUCAGCUCGUGUCGUGAGAUGUCGGGUUAAGU
This 688-nucleotide ribosomal RNA is filed under the name uncultured archaeon. RNAcentral describes it as "bacterial SSU rRNA". It matches the Rfam family "Bacterial small subunit ribosomal RNA", at positions 380 to 1085 of the family's 1533-position model. The record is from RNAcentral.